RNAcentral lists this ribosomal RNA (468 nucleotides) under uncultured bacterium. RNAcentral describes it as "partial 16S ribosomal RNA". It matches the Rfam family "Bacterial small subunit ribosomal RNA", at positions 28 to 507 of the family's 1533-position model. The record is from RNAcentral.
GACGAACGCUGGCGGCGUGCUUAACACAUGCAAGUCGAACGGAAAGGCCCUGCUUUUGUGGGGUGCUCGAGUGGCGAACGGGUGAGUAACACGUGAGUAACCUGCCCUUGACUUUGGGAUAACUUCAGGAAACUGGGGCUAAUACCGGAUAGGAGCUCCUGCUGCAUGGUGGGGGUUGGAAAGUUUCGGCGGUUGGGGAUGGACUCGCGGCUUAUCAGCUUGUUGGUGGGGUAGUGGCUUACCAAGGCUUUGACGGGUAGCCGGCCUGAGAGGGUGACCGGCCACAUUGGGACUGAGAUACGGCCCAGACUCCUACGGGAGGCAGCAGGGGGGAAUAUUGCACAAUGGGCGGAAGCCUGAUGCAGCAACGCCGCGUGCGGGAUGACGGCCUUCGGGUUGUAAACCGCUUUCGCCUAUGACGAAGCGUGAGUGACGGUAAUGGGUAAAGAAGCACCGGCUAACUACGUG